AGCUUGGUGGUUGUAGCAUGAGUGAAA
This 27-nucleotide ribosomal RNA is filed under the name Rickettsia helvetica. Lineage: Bacteria; Pseudomonadati; Pseudomonadota; Alphaproteobacteria; Rickettsiales; Rickettsiaceae. The record is from RNAcentral.